RNAcentral lists this ribosomal RNA (207 nucleotides) under uncultured bacterium. Its description in RNAcentral is "partial 16S ribosomal RNA". It matches the Rfam family "Bacterial small subunit ribosomal RNA", at positions 568 to 774 of the family's 1533-position model. The record is from RNAcentral.
UGCGCAGGCGGUUUUGUAAGACAGAGGUGAAAUCCCCGGGCUCAACCUGGGAACUGCCUUUGUGACUGCAAGGCUAGAGUACGGCAGGAGGGGGAUGGAAUUCCGCGUGUAGCAGUGAAAUGCGUAGAUAUGCGGAGGAACACCGAUGGCGAAGGCAGUCCCCUGGGCCUGUACUGACGCUCAUGCACGAAAGCGUGGGAGCAAACA